Molecule: ribosomal RNA, 1346 nt
Filed under: uncultured bacterium
Lineage: Bacteria
Description: partial 16S ribosomal RNA
Rfam family: Bacterial small subunit ribosomal RNA
Source: RNAcentral
GACGAACGCUGGCGGCGUGCUUAACACAUGCAAGUCGAACGGAAAGGCCCUGCUUUUGUGGGGUGCUCGAGUGGCGAACGGGUGAGUAACACGUGAGUAACCUGCCCUUGACUUUGGGAUAACUUCAGGAAACUGGGGCUAAUACCGGAUAGGAGCUCCUGCUGCAUGGUGGGGGUUGGAAAGUUUCGGCGGUUGGGGAUGGACUCGCGGCUUAUCAGCUUGUUGGUGGGGUAGUGGCUUACCAAGGCUUUGACGGGUAGCCGGCCUGAGAGGGUGACCGGCCACAUUGGGACUGAGAUACGGCCCAGACUCCUACGGGAGGCAGCAGUGGGGAAUAUUGCACAAUGGGCGGAAGCCUGAUGCAGCAACGCCGCGUGCGGGAUGACGGCCUUCGGGUUGUAAACCGCUUUCGCCUGUGACGAAGCGUGAGUGACGGUAAUGGGUAAAGAAGCACCGGCUAACUACGUGCCAGCAGCCGCGGUGAUACGUAGGGUGCGAGCGUUGUCCGGAUUUAUUGGGCGUAAAGGGCUCGUAGGUGGUUGAUCGCGUCGGAAGUGUAAUCUUGGGGCUUAACCCUGAGCGUGCUUUCGAUACGGGUUGACUUGAGGAAGGUAGGGGAGAAUGGAAUUCCUGGUGGAGCGGUGGAAUGCGCAGAUAUCAGGAGGAACACCAGUGGCGAAGGCGGUUCUCUGGGCCUUUCCUGACGCUGAGGAGCGAAAGCGUGGGGAGCGAACAGGCUUAGAUACCCUGGUAGUCCACGCUGUAAACGGUGGGUACUAGGUGUGGGGUCCAUUCCACGGGUUCCGUGCCGUAGCUAACGCUUUAAGUACCCCGCCUGGGGAGUACGGCCGCAAGGCUAAAACUCAAAGGAAUUGACGGGGCCCCGCACAAGCGGCGGAGCAUGCGGAUUAAUUCGAUGCAACGCGUAGAACCUUACCUGGGUUUGACAUGGAUCGGGAGUGCUCAGAGAUGGGUGUGCCUCUUUUGGGGUCGGUUCACAGGUGGUGCAUGCCUGUCGUCAGCUCGUGUCGUGAGAUGUUGGGUUAAGUCCCGCAACGAGCGCAACCCUUGUUCACUGUUGCCAGCACGUUAUGGUGGGGACUCAGUGGAGACCGCCGGGGUCAACUCGGAGGAAGGUGGGGAUGACGUCAAGUCAUCAUGCCCCUUAUGUCCAGGGCUUCACGCAUGCUACAAUGGCUGGUACAGAGAGUGGCGAGCCUGUGAGGGUGAGCGAAUCUCGGAAAGCCGGUCUCAGUUCGGAUUGGGGUCUGCAACUCGACCUCAUGAAGUCGGAGUCGCUAGUAAUCGCAGAUCAGCAACGCUGCGGUGAAAAAGUUCCCGGGGCU